UUGUGCCGGGAUCGCCCUCCGUCAGCGCGUUGCGCCCACGGGGGCGCUUAACG
Molecule: small RNA, 53 nt
Rfam family: ffh sRNA
Source: Rfam